UCGCCUGUUUAUCAAAAACAUAGUUUCUGUUUAUAUAGGAGAUUUAACCUGCCCACUGAAAAAUUUUUGAAGGGCCGCAGUAUUUUGACUGUGCAAAGGUAGCAUAAUCAUUAGUCUUUUAAUUGGAGGCUGGUAUGAAUGGUUGGACGAGGCAAAUACUAUUUUAUGUUAAUUAGAAUUGAAUUUCGAUGUUAAGUAAAAAUACUUAAAUGUUAUUAAGGGACGAGAAGACCCUAUAGAGUUUAAUAUACAUAGUUUUGAUUGAGUUAAUAAGCAAUUUUUGGUUAAUUAUGAAGUAUAUUUGAUUGGGGUGAUUAAAAGAUAAAUAAAACUCUUUUUAAAGUUAAAUAUUUUAGUUAGUUGAUUGAUCCAUAUUUAAUGAUUAUAAGAUUAAAUUACCUUAGGGAUAACAGCGUAAUUCUUUUUGAGAGUUCAUAUCGAAAAAGGAGAUUGUGACCUCGAUGUUGGAUUAAGAUAAAUUUUAGGUGUAGAUGUUUAAAUAUUAGGUCUGUUCGACCUUUAAUUUCUUACAUGAUCUGAGUUCAAACCGGAGA
Molecule: ribosomal RNA, 554 nt
Filed under: Tropidomantis sp. MN096
Lineage: Eukaryota; Metazoa; Arthropoda; Insecta; Mantodea; Nanomantidae
Description: partial 16S ribosomal RNA
Rfam family: Bacterial large subunit ribosomal RNA
Source: RNAcentral